This is a long non-coding RNA of Nicotiana tabacum (common tobacco), 1131 nucleotides long. RefSeq lists it as uncharacterized. The record is from RefSeq and is a predicted model, not a curated record. NCBI's taxonomy places the organism in Eukaryota, Viridiplantae, Streptophyta, Magnoliopsida, Solanales, Solanaceae.
GUUUGUAUUCAAUGCCAAAGUAAAUAUGGUAGGCUUGCUUCUAUUCUUUUCAAGGUUCCUGUCUUUGGCUGCUCCUUUAUUUCCUAACUCCUCCAACAAAGCUAGAUCGCAUCACCUCCCUCUGCCCGUUGAUCAUAUCUACCUCAGCUAUUGCUUCCCCACCUUAUAGCUCGAAAUCAAUUACUGAUCAUUUUAGGUGAAAUAAUAGUUUUGGACACGUGUUUUUGGGCAAAGAAGAAGUGCGAGAUAGAGAGAGGAGGCUGGUCUUUGAAAAGAGAAGAAGAGGGAGAUUUAUGAAUUCCUUGAGUGGGUCUGUGGUGACACUCGUGGAUAACAUUGAUCCUUGAAAUUGUCGAGAAAGUACACAAUUGUAGGUUUUCUGGUGAAAUUGGGAAAAGAGUCAAAGACCCAGUUCAGCUGUUAGCGUACAGAUUGUUUUAGUUGCAAUGAGUUCAGGAAAUGUGGGGCGGCUGCCAUUAAUGAAUGUUGUUAAAUUUAAAGGAGUGCCAAUUCUGCGACAAUUGCAUUUGUAGGAAUGGUUGCUCAGGACUUCACCUCAAAACUGGUGCAUUGUAAAUGAUGGAACCAAUGAACCCACAAUUGUCAUGGGUAUUUCAGGGCGAGCCAUCAAUUUUCACCCUUUAUUUAUGACAAGAUUCCAGUAGUAAAGAGGUUUACUGGAGGAGGCACUGUAAUAGUCGAUCACAGGAUAAUUUUCAUCUCCUUCAUAUGCAAUAAGGAUGUUGUCCCUACUGUACAACCAUAUCCUAGGCCAUCAUGUCAUGGAGCAGCCAACUCUAUAGCAAGGUGUUUCAAGGAGUUGGGGAAACAAACAAUAUUUGAAUUUGCUCGUUUUCUCUUCUUCUCCGAUAUUUUCUUAUGUUCAAAGCUAACCCAAGAAAAACCAUUUAUAGGGGAUGUAAUAAUGAAGAAAAUUUCAAAGGAAAAUGACCCAUGUAAUACUUUUGAAGUUUUUUGUUUGAUGCUUGAGAAUUGCAUCCGCUGUAGAUGAGUAUUCGUCAUUUAUAGUUUUGAAAGCAUAUUCAAGAGUUGGUCUUGUUAAGCUAGGAAUUCAGGUUCAUGGACUAUUGAGGAAAUUGUGCACUGCUGGUGAUUUUCUUUCUCUGUUAA